Molecule: small nucleolar RNA, 137 nt
Organism: Sorex araneus (European shrew)
Lineage: Eukaryota; Metazoa; Chordata; Mammalia; Eulipotyphla; Soricidae
Source: Ensembl
UUGGCCCUGAAUCAAGGCCAGUUCUUUGCUGAAACUGUUGGUUUCAAGCAGUAGCCUAAAGAAAUAUCUUUCUAUGGUCUGUUGAUCAUUUCAGAAUUUUGGAAAUGAAAUGGUCAGUUCAUUAGAAAGAAACAUCU